This 498-nucleotide ribosomal RNA is filed under the name uncultured bacterium. RNAcentral's name for it is "bacterial SSU rRNA". It matches the Rfam family "Bacterial small subunit ribosomal RNA", at positions 8 to 507 of the family's 1533-position model. The record is from RNAcentral.
AGAGUUUGAUCAUGGCUCAGAUUGAACGCUGGCGGCAGGCCUAACACAUGCAAGUCGAGCGCGAAAGUCUUCGGAUGAGUAAAGCGGCGAACGGGUGAGUAAUGCAUGGGAAUCUGCCUGGUAGUGGGGGACAACGUCUCGAAAGGGACGCUAAUACCGCAUACGCCCUACGGGGAAAGGGGGGGAUCUUCGGACCUCUCGCUAUCAGAUGAGCCCAUGUCAGAUUAGCUAGUUGGUGAGGUAAAGGCUCACCAAGGCGACGAUCUGUAACUGGUCUGAGAGGAUGAUCAGUCACACUGGAACUGAGACACGGUCCAGACUCCUACGGGAGGCAGCAGUGGGGAAUAUUGGACAAUGGGGGCAACCCUGAUCCAGCCAUGCCGCGUGUGUGAAGAAGGCCCUAGGGUUGUAAAGCACUUUCAGUGGGGAGAAAGGUUAGUCACCUAAUACGUGAGUAGAUUGAUGUUACCCACAGAAGAAGCACCGGCUAACUCCGUG